UUUUGCAAAUUCCGUGCUGAC
Molecule: non-coding RNA, 21 nt
Filed under: Caenorhabditis elegans
Lineage: Eukaryota; Metazoa; Nematoda; Chromadorea; Rhabditida; Rhabditidae
Source: RNAcentral